RNAcentral lists this ribosomal RNA (468 nucleotides) under uncultured bacterium. RNAcentral's name for it is "partial 16S ribosomal RNA". It matches the Rfam family "Bacterial small subunit ribosomal RNA", at positions 28 to 507 of the family's 1533-position model. The record is from RNAcentral.
GACGAACGCUGGCGGCGUGCUUAACACAUGCAAGUCGAACGGAAAGGCCCUGCUUUUGUGGGGUGCUCGAGUGGCGAACGGGUGAGUAACACGUGAGUAACCUGCCCUUGACUUUGGGAUAACUUCAGGGAACUGGGGCUAAUACCGGAUAGGAGCUCCUGCUGCAUGGUGGGGGUUGGAAAGUUUCGGCGGUUGGGGAUGGACUCGCGGCUUAUCAGCUUGUUGGUGGGGUAGUGGCUUACCAAGGCUUUGACGGGUAGCCGGCCUGAGAGGGUGACCGGCCACAUUGGGACUGAGAGACGGCCCAGACUCCUACGGGAGGCAGCAGGGGGGAAUAUUGCACAAUGGGCGGAAGCCUGAUGCAGCAACGCCGCGUGCGGGAUGACGGCCUUCGGGUUGUAAACCGCUUUCGCCUGUGACGAAGCGUGAGUGACGGUAAUGGGUAAAGAAGCACCGGCUAACUACGUG